This 3253-nucleotide long non-coding RNA is filed under the name Strigops habroptila (Kakapo). RNAcentral describes it as "lncRNA (ENSSHBG00005001945.1)". The record is from RNAcentral. Lineage: Eukaryota; Metazoa; Chordata; Aves; Psittaciformes; Psittacidae.
UUUUCUGACUAAUUUCCUCACUUCUCAGCAGGUGAAACCUACUGCCAGUUAGAGACUUACAGUGUUCAGCAUCCAUUCUGAUGCAAACCAAAAAAAGCAAGUCUCUUGCUGGCUGGGGACAAUGAAGUCAUUAAUCAAAAUCACUCUCCAUCUCCUCUGAUGAUGGAAAAAAAAAAGAAAAAGUCUGUCUACUAUCAGGGUGCAAAACUAAACUAGAAUCACUGGGCUAUGACCUCAGAAAAGGAGGUAAUAUGGAACAAGUUCUAGGGAAAAUGACAGUAGGGGAAGCACGUCUUCGAACCUCAGGAUCCUGGGGCUGACAUUUGGGUUUCAUGGUAAUUUAAAAUAGUUUCAAGGCUGCCUUGUGGUAUUGCUGAUUCUUAAGAGCCACAAGAAGUCCUUCUGAUGAUGGUAGGUAACCUGAGGCACAGAAACUUGCAGUAUGUUCCUCUCCAGUAGUCAUAUCAUACAAACAUCUUUAAAGUGGAACUUGCAGUGAGGGAAAGGGUAAAAGCCAUUACUGCAGGAUUUCUGUAUGUCAGAGAAAUCCUCAAAGAGGUGCCUAAGCUGACUUUAAGGCUGCUUUGUGCUGCUACUAUUGCACAGAACAGGAUGGAUCUGUCUUAUAAAUAUUCUGAGGAGAUAAUCUUGAAUUCUUCAAAAUGUUUUAAAGUGGAAAUAUCCUAAAAGGCAUGUGAAAUUCUACACACAUUGUUGGUCCAGUCUAGGACUGGUCAAUGGGAUCUUACAGCUGAAUAUAUCAGAAAAUACCAGUGAGACCCAUAGCUAGUGAUCAAUAGCCAGUAACUGAGACUCUACACAGAAUAUCCCAAUCGGGAAUAUAUCUAUGCAGGAAUCAUCUGCACGCAAGUAGCAUAGGGAAGGAAGAAAACUAAUAAAGAGGUUUAGAUGCAUCAUCCCUUCCUCCCCUGCUCUCUGAUUUAAACCAAUCUCCUUAAAGGUUUUCAUGUAAGUCAAAACACUGAUUUGUCCGGAGGAAGGCUUUUGUCACGUUUUCUAUCUGCUGGACAGCUGUAAAUAGGAGAUCUAGAGUAAUACAAAGCUUGCUGGACAGCCUCACCAACUUUUUCAGAACUUAAGCUUUCUUUGAUUAAACAAACAGACACAUAAACAACUCCUUUCUAAUCUCCAGAAAGCAAAGUCUUGCAAAAAAACCUGUGGAUUGGCAGACUGCUGAGAAGUUAUUUCACCACAGUGUUAGCUCUGAAGUAUGACAACAGUUUUAAUGCCAAUAUUAUGAAUUAUUUCAGGACUAAUUCCUUUAAUGGGGGGUUGAAUGGGGGCGAAAUGUCAAAAAUAUAUGAAGCCUUUUGCAGUAUUGCUGGAAGAAGGGCCUACCUAUGCUUUUCAGCCUAUUUUCUGAUUCAUGUAUAAAUGGUUAAUUCAUAAAGUGAUACAUGUCUUACCAAACAAAAAAAUAACAUGCUCAGUUUGACAAGACCAAAGGAAAAAAUGACAAAUACAUACAUGAAACCAGGAGUAUUCUCCAUAAGGACAGUAAAUUCUCAGUGGAUUACUCCGUAGUGGAGCUAUAACAAAACAAAAACAAUGCAUCAAAUCCAGUCUUGGGAAUGAGUCCUGAAAUGCACUGAUCUUACUGAAGCCACUGGGAUAUGCAAGGGCCCACCACCUCUUAAGAUCUGGCCUUGAAUUUCAAAUCAAGUCUUUCAUUUUACUUGCAAGUGCUAAUGCCAAAAAACCCAAGCAAAAUGGAAAAUGAUGUUUCAGUCCCUCAGGCUUAUUUUAAAGAGAUUACCUCCAGCUUGACACUUUUAUCCUUGGGAUAGGAUGCCAGGGCCUGUAAGAAAAGUUAAAUCUGAUCCAAAAUACUCAAUAAAUUGAAAAGGUAAAUUAUGAAUGCAGUAGUUUAGGCGAUUAUUAAUGACUCCUCUGAAAACAGGCAUGUUGUGCAAUCAAUUAUAUGUUUAAAUGGCCAUGUCUCCUCUAUGUCUUUUAGGUCAGAACUUUAAUCUGUAGUUUAAAGAUCAUAUCAAAGGAUUUAAGUGGCUGAAAAUGCAUGUUGCUUUAAACUGUACCUCUCAAUCUGCAGCUUAUGAUUUUUUUGACUCAUUGAUGAUUUGAUAUUUUUUGAAGUAUAUGAACUAUAUUGUUCUCAUGUUUUCACAUGGCCAAUCUGCAUCUGGUUUCCGAUCUUUUGUUUCCUGUAAAUGUACUUUCUUACAUAUACUAUCUUCUUUGAAUAAAAAAGCAUUAGAAAAGACAUGAGAAAUAACUUGGCUAUUGAUUUGGUGUAAUACAUAGAUGCUUCCCCAAGUUAAUCAAGGUAGUGAAAACAAAGUUCAGCUGUGAAGAACUGCAGAAGGACCAUACAAGGCUGAGUGAUAAUACUGCAGAUGAACUUCCAAGUGGAAGAACUGGAAGUAAUGCACUUGGGAUUAACCAAACAGAACUUUAUAGACACAGAACCAGGUGCUGAACUGGCUAUUACUACCCAGCAAUGAGAUCCUGGAGUUGUAACAGUGAAAAUGUCAGUUCAGUGCCAAGUUGUGACCAAUAAAGGAAACUGAGUGUUCACAUCUAUAAGGAAAGCAUUACAGAAACAAUACCAUGAACAUAAUCUUGCAGCUAGGUAAUCCUGUGGUGCACCUGCAUCUUGAAUAGUGUGUGUAUUUGUGGUUCCUCCACUUCAACAAAGAUGUAGCAAACUGUAAAAGAUCCAGAGAAAGGAUAGCCCUAAUAAUGACCACAGUUAUGGAGAAAUGAUUAAUUAGCCUGGCAUUCUUCCACCUGGAAUGGAAUUACCUGGUUGGGGGAUAUUACAGCAGUUGAUAAAAUAAUGAGUGACAGAGAGUAAGUACUAGGGAAUGAUCCAUCAUUGUGUUUUCAAAUACAUCAAGUAGGAGAUAUUAAAUAAAAUAACCAGAUGGCAGGUUCACAAUGCCAAAAUGAGAUGGUUCUUUAGGCUAGAUAGACUUAAUCUGUGAAAAUCCUUGCAAGAUUCCUGGAUUCCAGGAAUUUUACAUGGGUUUAAAAAGCAACAGCAAUGUGCACUGAAGAUGAAUCCAUAACAGAUUAUCAAACAGAAUGAUUCCACCUCUGAGCUACAAACUGUUGGAGAUUGCAAGGGUUAGUCUACGUACUCUCCUAAUAUCCAUCCCUGGCUGCCAUUGCCUUUGUGAAGGGUAUCAAGGGUCUUAGUACAGAUGACUUUUGGCUGGACACAGAGGGCUUUUGGCUCUACAAAAAGUAGAGAUAUACUAACAUUUUAAAG